RNAcentral lists this transfer RNA (71 nucleotides) under Camelus bactrianus (Bactrian camel). It matches the Rfam family "tRNA". From Rfam's summary of the family: Transfer RNA (tRNA) molecules are approximately 80 nucleotides in length. Their secondary structure includes four short double-helical elements and three loops (D, anti-codon, and T loops). The record is from Rfam by way of RNAcentral. Lineage: Eukaryota; Metazoa; Chordata; Mammalia; Artiodactyla; Camelidae. RNAcentral also lists the same sequence under 2 other names.
GAGGGCAUAGUUCAGCGGUAGAGCACAUGCCUAGCAUGUAUGAGGUGGUAGGUUCAAUCCCCAGUGCCUCG